GAUGAAGAACGUAGCGAAAUGCGAUACUUGGUGUGAAUUGCAGAAUCCCGUGAACCAUCGAGUCUUUGAACGCAAGUUGCGCCCGAAGCCACUAGGCCGAGGGCACGCCUGCCUGGGCGUCACACGUCGUUGCCCCCCCCCCAUCUACUCCUUCGGGAUUGCGGGGGGCGGAUGAUGGCCUCCCGUGCGCCUAGCCGCGCGGUUGGCAUAAAUACCAAGUCCUCGGCGACGCACGCCACGACAAUCGGUGGUUGCGAAACCUCGGUUGCCCGUCGUGUGCGUUCGUCGCGCAUCGAGGGCUCGAAAAAAUGCUCGGCUCCGGCUCGGCUUUCAACGCGACCCCAGGUCAGGCGGGGUUACCCGCUGAAUUUAAGCAUACAAUAAGCGGAGGC
RNAcentral lists this unclassified non-coding RNA (392 nucleotides) under soil metagenome. RNAcentral describes it as "partial contains 5.8S ribosomal RNA, internal transcribed spacer 2, and large subunit ribosomal RNA". The stretch from base 1 to 122 matches the Rfam family "5.8S ribosomal RNA", at positions 35 to 154 of the family's 154-position model. The record is from RNAcentral.